RNAcentral lists this transfer RNA (79 nucleotides) under Bacillota bacterium. RNAcentral describes it as "tRNA-Ser". It matches the Rfam family "tRNA". From Rfam's summary of the family: Transfer RNA (tRNA) molecules are approximately 80 nucleotides in length. Their secondary structure includes four short double-helical elements and three loops (D, anti-codon, and T loops). Further hydrogen bonds mediate the characteristic L-shaped molecular structure. tRNAs have two regions of fundamental functional importance: the anti-codon, which is responsible for specific mRNA codon recognition, and the 3' end, to which the tRNAs corresponding amino acid is attached (by aminoacyl-tRNA synthetases). tRNAs cope with the degeneracy of the genetic code in two manners: having more than one tRNA (with a specific anti-codon) for a particular amino acid; and 'wobble' base-pairing, i.e. permitting non-standard base-pairing at the 3rd anti-codon position. The record is from RNAcentral. Lineage: Bacteria; Bacillati; Bacillota.
GGAGAGAUGGCCGAGUGGUCGAAGGCGCACGCCUGGAGAGCGUGUAGGGUGCAAGCCCUCGCGAGUUCGAAUCUCGCUC